Molecule: ribosomal RNA, 674 nt
Filed under: Umbilicus rupestris
Lineage: Eukaryota; Viridiplantae; Streptophyta; Magnoliopsida; Saxifragales; Crassulaceae
Description: eukaryotic LSU rRNA
Rfam family: 5.8S ribosomal RNA (bases 262-417)
Source: RNAcentral
UCCGUAGGUGAACCUGCGGAAGGAUCAUUGUCGAAGCCUAGAAAGCACGACCGCGAACAAUUUGUUAAUCGGGGAGUCUUUGGGGAGCCCUCGGGCGCCCCUUCGCAUCCCCGCCCGGACGGCGAGGUGCCCCGCGCGCCUCGUCGCUCGGGCCUAACGAACCCCGGCGCGGAUUGCGCCAAGGAAUCUAAAACGAAAGAACUUGCCUCUGCGGCCCGUAUUCGGGUUGCCAGGGGCAUAGAUCUGUUCAAUACACUAAACGACUCUCGGCAACGGAUAUCUUGGCUCUCGCAUCGAUGAAGAACGUAGCGAAAUGCGAUACUUGGUGUGAAUUGCAGAAUCCCGUGAACCAUCGAGUCUUUGAACGCAAGUUGCGCCCGAAGCCAUUAGGCCGAGGGCACGUCUGCCUGGGCGUCACGUAUUGUGUUGCCCCCCAUACCUUCGUAUGGGGAGCGGAACUUGGCCUCCCGUGAGUCCCAGCUCGCGGAUGGCUUAAAAAGGAGCCUCGAGACGGUCGGACGUCGCGACAAGUGGUGGUUACAGGGCUUCGAGCCCUUGAGCUUUGCGUGCCGCGCGCCUUCCGCCCCUCCCUGCUCGAAUAUAACCCUUGCUGAGCGUCCCCGACGUUGCCAGCAUUGCGACCCCAGGUCAGGCGGGACUACCCGCUGAAUUAA